AGAACGAACGCUGGCGGCAGGCUUAACACAUGCAAGUCGAACGAUGUAGCAAUACAUAGUGGCGCACGGGUGAGUAACGCGUGGGAAUGUACCAUUUGGUGGGGAAUAACUGAGGGAAACUUCAGCUAAUACCGCAUACGCCCUUCGGGGAAGAUUAUCGCCAAAUGAUCAGCCCGCGUGAGAUUAGGUAGUUGGUGGGGUAAUGGCCUACCAAGCCUACGAUCUCUAGCUGGUCUGAGAGGAUGAUCAGCCACACUGGAACUGAGACACGGUCCAGACUCCUACGGGAGGCAGCAGUGGGGAAUAUUGGGCAAUGGAGGAAACUCUGACCCAGCCAUGCCGCGUGAAUGAUGAAGGCCUUAGGGUUGUAAAGUUCUUUCGCCGAUGAAGAUAAUGACGGUAGUCGGAGAAGAAGCCCCGGCUAACUUCGUGCCAGCAGCCGC
RNAcentral lists this ribosomal RNA (443 nucleotides) under uncultured bacterium. RNAcentral describes it as "SSU rRNA". It matches the Rfam family "Bacterial small subunit ribosomal RNA", at positions 26 to 518 of the family's 1533-position model. The record is from RNAcentral.